CUUUAAUAACCCCAUUAUUUGUGUAAAAUUACAAUCUUCCAACUUUAAUAGGUUCUGAGCAAUUCGAAUUUUCGCGUUUAAUUCAUUUGUCACGUCCCUGUACAUGGUGAAAAGAUCAGACAUCAUCUAAAAGAUCCGAAAUUUUGUUUUACAACACAUACUAAAAUUUCAGGGUUCCAGCGAUAGUACAAGUACCCGAAAAAUGCGAUUUUAUGAAAAAAGUCCAUUUUUUUGCGUUUUUGCAGGUAAUUGGAGGUGUCAACCUAAACUCUGAUGAAAUGGCUGGUGGGAACAAUACUUUGACGCAUGGUGGGUACAAAUUUUUUGCUCGUGACAGGUGGCCGGGACUUGGUUGGGUUUUUUGUAAAAUUAUGAAUGAAAAUGAACCGGAAACGAUCAGGGAAAGGAAGCACCGAAUCAGAAAAUGAAUGGGCUUUCCGAAUCUGUGCAUAUCAAUUGGGGAAAUUGUGUAUUGCGGCCAGGAAAAUUCGGCAAACAUUUUGACGUCUUCGAAAAAUGCCGUUUUUUUGAAAAGUCAGUGGUUUUAUACCGGGGUGAGACGAAAUGAAAUUUGCCCUAUUAUUUUAUUAAAAUUAUUCGAAUAUAUACACGGGUCAGUCGUAAUGAUCUAUUUAAUUUAAAAUAAGAAUUUAGAUAUUUGGUGAGUUUUUACUAUUUAGUUUAUUAUUAAUAAAUGUUAACAAUUCUUAAACAUUGCUUUUGGGU
This is a long non-coding RNA of Anthonomus grandis grandis, 726 nucleotides long. RefSeq lists it as uncharacterized. The transcript is spliced from 3 exons. The record is from RefSeq and is a predicted model, not a curated record. NCBI's taxonomy places the organism in Eukaryota, Metazoa, Arthropoda, Insecta, Coleoptera, Curculionidae.